GAUGAACGCUAGCGGCAGGCUUAAUACAUGCAAGUCAAGGGGGUAGCAAUACAACCGGCGCACGGGUGAGUAACGCGUACACAACAUACCAUAUACUGGAGUAUAGCUUUGGGAAACUGAAGGUAAUCCUCCAUAACAUUGCGAGAGGGCAUCUGAUUGCAAUUAAAGUUCCGGCGGUAUAUGAUUGGUGUGCGUUUGAUUAGCUAGUUGGUAGGGUAACGGCCUACCAAGGCGACGAUCAAUAGCUGGCGUGAGAGCGCGACCAGCCACACUGGAACUGAGACACGGUCCAGACUCCUACGGGAGGCAGCAGUAGGGAAUAUUGGACAAUGGGCGAAAGCCUGAUCCAGCCAUGCCGCGUGAUAGAUGAAGGCCCUCUGGGUUGU
RNAcentral lists this ribosomal RNA (386 nucleotides) under uncultured bacterium. RNAcentral's name for it is "bacterial SSU rRNA". It matches the Rfam family "Bacterial small subunit ribosomal RNA", at positions 28 to 426 of the family's 1533-position model. The record is from RNAcentral.